CCUACGGGAGGCAGCAGUGGGGAAUUUUUCGCAAUGGGGGCAACCCUGACGAAGCAAUGCCGCGUGGAUGAAGAAGGCCUUCGGGUUGUAAAGUCCUUUCGUGGGGGACGAAAAGGUGGUUCCUAAUACGAGCUGCUGUUGACGUGAACCCAAGAAGAAGCACCGGCUAACUCCGUGCCAGCAGCCGCGGUAAUACGGGGGGUGCAAGCGUUAAUCGGAAUCACUGGGCGUAAAGGGUGCGUAGGCGGUACGUUAGGUCUGUCGUGAAAUCCCCGGGCUCAACCUGGGAAUGGCGGUAGAAACCGGCGAACUAGAGUAUGGGAGAGGGUGGUGGAAUUCCAGGUGUAGCGGUGAAAUGCGUAGAGAUCUGGAGGAACAUCAGUGGCGAAGGCGGCCACCUGGCCCAAUACUGACGCUGAGGCACGAAAGCGUGGGGAGCAAACAGGACUAGAUACCCUGGUAGUCCACGCCCUAAACGAUGAAUACUAGAUGUUUGGUACCUAGCGUACUGAGUGUCGUAGCUAACGCCGAUAAGUAUUCCGCCUUGGGAAGUACGGCCCGCAAGGUUAAAACUCAAAAGGAAAUUGACGG
This 591-nucleotide ribosomal RNA is filed under the name uncultured bacterium. RNAcentral's name for it is "bacterial SSU rRNA". It matches the Rfam family "Bacterial small subunit ribosomal RNA", at positions 338 to 916 of the family's 1533-position model. The record is from RNAcentral.